CUACCAUCUGGAAUACUUGAA
Molecule: non-coding RNA, 21 nt
Filed under: Arabidopsis thaliana (thale cress)
Lineage: Eukaryota; Viridiplantae; Streptophyta; Magnoliopsida; Brassicales; Brassicaceae
Source: RNAcentral